RNAcentral lists this ribosomal RNA (506 nucleotides) under uncultured bacterium. RNAcentral describes it as "partial 16S ribosomal RNA". It matches the Rfam family "Bacterial small subunit ribosomal RNA", at positions 29 to 523 of the family's 1533-position model. The record is from RNAcentral.
AGUGAACGCUGGCGGUAGGCCUAACACAUGCAAGUCGAACGGCAGCACAGGAGAGCUUGCUCUCUGGGUGGCGAGUGGCGGACGGGUGAGGAAUACAUCGGAAUCUACUCUGUCGUGGGGGAUAACGUAGGGAAGCUUACGCUAAUACCGCAUACGACCUACGGGUGAAAGCAGGGGACCUUCGGGCCUUGCGCGAUUGAAUGAGCCGAUGUCGGAUUAGCUAGUUGGCGGGGUAAAGGCCCACCAAGGCGACGAUCCGUAGCUGGUCUGAGAGGAUGAUCAGCCACACUGGAACUGAGACACGGUCCAGACUCCUACGGGAGGCAGCAGUGGGGAAUAUUGGACAAUGGGCGCAAGCCUGAUCCAGCCAUACCGCGUGGGUGAAGAAGGCCUUCGGGUUGUAAAGCCCUUUUGUUGGGAAAGAAAUCCAGCUGGCUAAUACCCGGUUGGGAUGACGGUACCCAAAGAAUAAGCACCGGCUAACUUCGUUCCAGCCGCCGCCGUAA